CAUGGAGGGUGAGAAUCCCGUUCAUGGUUAAUCUUAAGGAAGCUCUACGAUACGUUUUCCAAGAGUCGAGUUGUUUGGGAUUGCAGCUCAAAAUGGGAGGUAAAUUUCUCCUAAGGCUAAAUAUUGGCGAGAGACCGAUAGCGAACAAGUACCGUGAGGGAAAGAUGAAAAGAACUUUGAAAAGAGAGUUAAACAGUACGUGAAAUUGUUGAAAGGGAAACGAUUGAAGUCAGUCAUACCAACGGGAAAUCAACCUUUUGAGCUUGGUCUCGUGGGUUUUGAAGAGUUUCAAAGCCUUCGGAUUCGCGGGAUUGGGAUCUCUUGGUGUACUUUUUCGUACGGUUAGUCAACAUCGGUUUUGAAUGUCAUAAAAUGACUGGAGGAAUGUAGCUUCGAUCUCGUAUUGAAGUGUUAUAGCCUUUGGUAGAUGUGAUGUUUGGGACCGAGGAUUGCAACGGAUACCCUUCAGGGCUAUUCGUCUGAUCUUUGGUACUUGUCUUUAGUAUCGGAAGCUUGCUAACGAUAUUAGGGUUCACGGGUCAAAGGUUGGAACGGAUUAAAUUCGUUAAGGAUGUUGACGUAAUGG
RNAcentral lists this ribosomal RNA (586 nucleotides) under uncultured Funneliformis. Its description in RNAcentral is "LSU rRNA". It matches the Rfam family "Eukaryotic large subunit ribosomal RNA", at positions 204 to 637 of the family's 3401-position model. Lineage: Eukaryota; Fungi; Glomeromycota; Glomeromycetes; Glomerales; Glomeraceae. The record is from RNAcentral.